GCUGGAAGGUCGCCUCAGAAGCUCAGGGAAGGGGCAUAGCAGAAGGAGCUUGGCUCCCGGGGACCUGCCCAGCUGCACGGGGUCAGGUGGGGCAGGCUUUGCUCUGAUCAGCCAUGUGCCUGCCAAAAAUGGGGAUUCCAGCAUCAAAGGAAAGGGAGAGAAGGGCAUUGGGGAGGCUCCCCAGAGUCUCUGCCACAGCGUAUAGACAGAAGGGAUAUGCGCAGAGGAAACGAGAGAGGAGUUGGGGGGUGAGGACCUCCCCAAGAGGCAGAGGGAAGCCUCUAGAAGAUGAGAAGGGGCCAAGCACUGGGGGCCCAGGAGGGCAGGUUCCAGAAGUGGGAGCCAUGAGCUAAGGCACAGAAGGCUUUAAGGUGUUCUGAGGGCAGAGAAGGUGCAGGGGGCCGAGUGAGGGAGCAGGGGUCCAGGGACAGGCACAGGCCUGCUAGGCCCGGGGUCUCUUCUCAAGGUGAGGGGAGAGGGCGGCCACGGCGGGGUGCUUUGAUCGGCUCAUCUCACUUUCCAGGGGAAAUCAGAGCUUCUGAAAACUCCUACUUCUGUCAGGCUGCCAGGCAGCUGGCCUCAGUGCCGUCGUCUCAGCUCUGCGUCAAGCUUGCCAGUGGCGGUGACCCCACAUAUGCCUUCAACAUCCGCUUCACUGGCGAGGAGGUCCAUGGCACCAGCGGCUCUUUCCGCCACUUCCUGUGGCAGGUGUGUAAGGAGCUGCAGAGUUCCUCACUGUCGCUGCUGCUGCUGUGCCCCAGCUCAGCUGUCAAUAAGAACAAGGGCAAAUAUAUCCUGACCCCGAGCCCCAUCACCUACGGGGAGGAGCAGCUGCUGCACUUCCUGGGGCAGCUGCUGGGGAUUGCUAUUCGGGCAGACGUCCCGCUACCCCUGGACCUCCUGCCCUCCUUCUGGAAGACGCUGGUGGGCGAGCCCUUGGACCCUGAGCAAGACCUGCAGGAAGCGGACAUCCUCACCUACAAUUACGUCAAGAAGUUUGAGAGCAUCAAUGAUGAGACCGAGCUGGAGGCCCUGUGCGCUGAGAUUGCCUCCCAGCACCUGGCCACCGAGAGCCCCGACAGCCCCAACAAGCCCUGCUGCAGGUUCACCUACCUGACCAUGACGGGCGAGGAGGUGGAGCUGUGCAGCCGGGGCCGGCACAUCCUUGUGGCGUGGGAGAACAAGGACAUCUACGCGGCAGCCAUCCGGAGCCUGCGGCUGCGGGAGCUGCAGAAUGUGGAAUGCGUGACGGCCGUGCGGGCCGGCCUGGGCUCCAUCAUCCCCCUGCAGCUGCUGACCACACUCAGCCCGCUGGAGAUGGAGCUGCGCACCUGCGGCCUCCCCUACAUCAACCUCGAGUUCCUCAAGGCCCACACCAUGUACCAGGUGGGGCUGAUGGAGACGGACCAGCACAUCGAGUUCUUCUGGGGGGCGCUGGAGAUGUUCACCCAGGAGGAGCUGUGCAAGUUCAUCAAGUUUGCCUGCAACCAGGAGCGCAUCCCAUUCACCUGCCCCUGCAAAGAUGGGGGUCCCGACACCGCCCAUGUUCCCCCAUACCCCAUGAAGAUCGCCCCCCCAGAUGGCACAGCAGGUACCGCCCUCCCCUGGUCAUGUCCCAAGUAGGGACACACUAGCCUUUCUCUGUUUGAAACUGGGGCUUCCAGGCCCCAUGUGAAGGGAGAACAAUGAACAGGAGCCCCACAUGCCAAAACUCAGACAUCAUUGAGGAUUAGGGCCGGGCAGGAACCAGCCAUACAGGCCUGCUGUUAGAUACUUUCUCAUAUCUUAAAAGAAGCGGAAAAUCCAGAAUGCUUCAAAUCUUCUAACCUUUAAAUGCAGAAAAAAAAAAAAC
Molecule: small RNA, 1852 nt
Filed under: Pongo abelii (Sumatran orangutan)
Lineage: Eukaryota; Metazoa; Chordata; Mammalia; Primates; Hominidae
Description: retained intron
Source: RNAcentral